UACGGAGGAUCCAAGCGUUAUCCGGAAUUACUGGGCGUAAAGAGUUGCGUAGGUGGCAUGUAAAGCAGAUAGUGAAAGCGUGUGGCUCAACCAUACAUCCAUUAUCUGAACUCACAAGCUAGAGGACGAGAGAGGUAGAUGGAAUUCCUAGUGUAGGGGUAAUAUCCGUAGAUAUUAGGAGGAACACCGAUGGCGUAAGCAGUCUACUGGCUCGUUUCUGACACUCAGGCACGAAAGCGUGGGGAGCAAACGGG
RNAcentral lists this ribosomal RNA (254 nucleotides) under uncultured bacterium. RNAcentral's name for it is "partial 16S ribosomal RNA". It matches the Rfam family "Bacterial small subunit ribosomal RNA", at positions 524 to 776 of the family's 1533-position model. The record is from RNAcentral.